Long non-coding RNA from Entelurus aequoreus (snake pipefish), 3599 nucleotides. RefSeq lists it as uncharacterized. NCBI's taxonomy places the organism in Eukaryota, Metazoa, Chordata, Actinopteri, Syngnathiformes, Syngnathidae. The transcript is spliced from 3 exons. The record is from RefSeq and is a predicted model, not a curated record.
GUGGUUAAUUAUGGGAUGCCGAAUGUAAAUGUUCAGUCACACUUUUCCUGCAGAUAUAUAUUUUUUCAGAUUUAGCAAAUUUUUAUGACAUUUACAAAUGUGAAAUCCAAACCUAAAUAUUACAUCUGAACCUAAAUGUUACAAGUUUGGAACUAAAACAUAUGCAACUUUAUUGGCAUUAUAUGUCAUUCAUCUGUCAUGUUUCCUUCUUCCGCUGUCAGAAAGGUGUAGGAGUGUCUGCACUGAGAGGCAUAGAAUUGGUGGAAUAUUGACAUUCUAUAAGUAUUCAUCUUUACACUUGGCGAGAGAUUUAACGCUCACAUUUAGAUUUAGAUUGAACUUUUAGCGCUCACAUUUAUAUGUAUAUAUAAAAUGUGUCUCGCCCCUUGGAAGGCUUCACAAUGCUGAGCACUUCUUGUAGGUAACUGUACAUACCACUUGUCGCCAGCAACAGGGGCCAUUGCAACACUUCGGUCAUAAUUUAAUACAUCAUAAUGGAUGUUUUGCGCAUCGAUACAUACACCCCCCUUAAAUUAUGCUAGAGUGAGGCAUAACACAAAGAACAGCAUCAAAUACUAACAAUAGGAAUCAUAUGUGGACCUAGGGAAAUGAUGUACAAUCGAAAAAGUCAAUGUCAGAAAUGUUUCCUCAAGUGUGUAGGCUCAGGAUGGUAACAAAACUACCCAUCAUAGACCAUUAGAAAUGCCAUAUACAGUUCACAUACUCAUACAUACAGUAUCUAUGCCCUGUAGUGCAGCUUUUAGGGUCCAGCAUAGCAAAUCAGUUCACAUUAGUAAAUUGUCACAAUACAAGUUAACAAUACCACCUUUCGUUACAACACCCAAUUGAAGCAAUUACACCCAUACUAACGGUGAUAGCACAACCCUCUGGAAUGACAUCUCCCAAAUAAGCCUAAUGGGUGACCUAAUACUUCUCAAACUGCUUGUGGAAACUAAAGGGCCUUGUGUGUCUUAUGGGUGUGUGUAGACAACCUCUUCUAACUCAACCUCAAACGGAACGAGUUGUUCACGGCAAUAGGUAGGUUAAAUGUGGUGUGUGAACUACUGCUUUAAAUGAUAGUUCAGUGCGUGCAUGACUCAUGUGGCUGUUUUCAGAUCCAGCAGGAAGGUUGUUCGACAAUUGCAAAGACUGGUCUUCCACAAUGGCAUCCACUUGAAAGUCAUUAUUGGAACUAUCAUCUUCAGAUUCUUCAUUACUUCCCGCCUCUGCAAAAACCAAUGACUGCAUGAGCCAUUCCUCAGUGUGCGCUCGAGUGUCCUCUUGAUCACACAAAAUGCUGCUCUGGGCACCGCCACAAUACGAUCUGACUGUGACUGCCCUGAGACUGCUUGGAACUCAUCCUGCUCUUGGAAAGUCAGGAAAUCAACUGGGAGCAGCAAAUUCCAGUACACAACCUUUUCUUUUCCUAUGGCAUCACAGAUUCUGUACACGUUGAUCAUUGACCUCAUGGACACCACAUCAAAAGGGGUUGAUUCCCAUCGGUCUGAAACUUUCCUGUUGCCUUCCUCACAUCGAUUGGCAAGCAGCACUCUGUCACCCACAGCCAAUGGUGACCCUCUGACCUUACGGUUGCAAGUCAGGAAACUUCAUGCCUACAUGAUGCGCCACCUUUGGGCCAUCAUGAGCAUCUCCUGGAGAGACAAAUUCCCGAAGACAGAGGUCCUAAGUCGUGCUGGACUGCCAUCGAUGGAUGACAUGCUAACCCAAACGAACCUGAGAUGGGUCGGGCAUGUAGAGAGAAUGAGCCACGAGCGGCUCCCUCGGCAUCUGCUCUACUCACAGCUGGAUGAAGGGAAACGAAACCGAGGAAGCCAAGGCUACGGUACAAGAACACCGUUAACGGAAUUUCAGGGAACUGAAGAUUGACACUGCAACCUAGCAACUCCAGUCAUUGUCACGCCCGACCAUACUUGCCAACCCUCCCGAUUUUUCCGUGAGACUCCCGAAUUUCAGUGCCCCUCCCGAAAAUCUCCCGGGGCAACCAUUCUCCUGAUUUUCACCCGGACAACAAUAUUAAGGGCGUGCCGUGAUGGCACUGCCUUUAGCGUCCUCUACAACCUGUCUACGCGUCCGCUUUUUCACCAUACAAACAGCGUGUCGGCCCAGUUACAUGUUGUGUGCGGCUUCUGCAUACACACGAAAGUGACUGCAAGACAUACUUGAUCAACAGCCAUACAGGUCACACUGAGGGUGACAGUAUAAACAACUUUAACACUGUUACAAAUAUGCGCCACACUGUGAACCCACACCAAACAAGAAUGACAAACACAUUCCGGGAGAACUUCCGCACCGUAACACAACAUAAACACAACAGAACAAAUACCCAGAAUCCCUUGCAUCCCUAACUCUUCCGGGCUACAAUAUACACCCCCGCUACUACCAAACCCAGCCCCCCCAACCCCCCAAUCUCCCGAAUUCGAAGGUCUCAAGGUUGGCAAGUAUGCGCCCGACAGACUGCUAUGAGAUAAUACAUUAAAGUGCAGUUUGAAUUUGAGGUACUGUAAAAUGUGUCCAAAAAAUGUAACAAUUAUGUCAGGGACAAAAUGUAUCCACAAACAAACAAAAAGAACAUGUUAGUUUAGUUCAUGUUAUAUCAAAGGAGUUGAAUUUUGGCAGACACAAACAAAAAGUCUGAUUAAAAAAUAUUUAGAUAUAAAAUUGCCUUUUCUGAUUAAAUUAGUGGGUGUGUUGAUGUUUCCAGUCGGGACCAAUAAAGUCACGUAGACGUUCUCUGAGUGCCUGCAAGUCCGCAUUCUGGGCAAGAUUACUGGUGAGCUUAAGCAGAUAGUGAAAGUAAAGUUGCUGCUCCUUUUAAAUGCUGUGUUUCAACCUUUAUGCGAGUGUUAGUCAUAUGUCUUUAUUUUGUUCUUCUGGGCUGCACUUCCAGCUGUGUAAGGGGAAGAGGCACAAUGAAAGUCAGGUAGAAGACAUGCUUGUCUACCUCAGAGGCAGAGCAAAAGAUGUUGUGAAGUUUGGCACAAGGAAUAGUGCCAUUGAUGUUACUAUGAAUCCAGAUGCAAUCUAUAGCCUUCUUCCUAAACAUUUUGCUGCUGUGCCCUGUUCACCUUUUCCCCUAGCAGACUUCAUUCACAGUAAUUAUCAUAUUCACAUUUAGUUAAAUCUGCGAUGAUCCUUUUUUUUAAAAUAUGCAAAAUAAACAGAAAACACAUUCACAAUAUUUUCCAAGAUGUCCCUGAACACACCUCGCAUUACAAGAUAGCUGCUUCAACCCAUGCUGUUGACAAACCAGGCUGCGUUAGCAUUAUCAUCAUAGAAACAAGGGACGACACUUAUAUUGACAAUAAAACAAUUACAUCGGCAUGAAAAAUAGUAUUACCUUCAACACAGUGCAAAUUGUGAGACUGUGAGUCCACUUGCGUCGCAGGAUUUUCUAAAUAACACAUCAACGAUCAAGAGCUAGUACAACACAUUAAAAGUGCAUUUUUGUCUUCAAAAUAUCACUGCAAGAUACAGUUUUGGUUAAUAACAAUUAGCGAACAUUCUUAUGUGUGCAUUGCAAAGUACUAUACUAAAUAUGAAUUCAUCAUAUGAUUAAUUAAAAAAUGUGUCUCACCACU